RNAcentral lists this ribosomal RNA (500 nucleotides) under uncultured bacterium. RNAcentral's name for it is "partial 16S ribosomal RNA". It matches the Rfam family "Bacterial small subunit ribosomal RNA", at positions 30 to 523 of the family's 1533-position model. The record is from RNAcentral.
AUUGAACGCUGGCGGAAUGCUUUACACAUGCAAGUCGAACGGCAGCACGGACUUCGGUCUGGUGGCGAGUGGCGAUCGGGUGAGUAAUAUAUCGGAACGUGCCCAGGCGUGGGGGAUAACGUAGCGAAAGCUACGCUAAUACCGCAUACGAUCUACGGAUGAAAGCGGGGGAUCGCAAGACCUCGCGCGAUUGGAGGGGCCGAUAUCAGGUUAGGUAGUUGGUGAGGUAAAGGCUCACCAAGCCGACGAACUGUAGCUGGUCUGAGAGGACGACCAGCCACACUGGGACUGAGACACGGCCCAGACUCCUACAGGAGGCAGCAGUGGGGAAUUUUGGACAAUGGGGGCAACCCUGAUCCAGCCAUUCCGCGUGCAGGAUGAAGGCCCUCGGGUUGUAAACUGCUUUUGUACGGAACGAAAAGGUCCUGGUUAAUACCUGGGGCUCAUGACGGUACCGUAAGAAUAAGCACCGGCUAACUACGUGCCAGCAGCCGCCGUAA